GUUAUGGAGUCACCCAAUUGAUAUGGCAAGACUUUGUUACCGCAAUGCGCAAAAAACAUAGUUUGCUAAAUUGACUUAGUUUCCCCUUGACGCAAGUUUAUAUCCUAAUGGAGGCGAAGUGCAGCAGCGUCUGGAGGAGGCGAAAGUGAGUAAAACCAGCCGAGUUCAGAGUUCAACAAUGUCAGCGAAGUUUAAAUCUUACCGGCUAGCUUAAAUCAGUUCAGGCCCCUCGCCUACGUUCCCGCUGCUGCUGCUACUCUAUGGUACUGCAGUCGACGACCCUGAGUUAUUUUGGAGUUAACAAAUUAAACUGACGUUACGUCUUUUUACACCGUCGCCGAGUCAGUUUAUGAAACCAGUCUUUUCAGAGAGCAUGGCGUGAGGACAGAAGCUGGCUAAGGAGAACCAUGCUUCACCCCAGGUGUACCAAAGACUGGAGAGAUAUUGACACUGCCCCCUUCACGAAUGAAAUGGUCAACUACGGCCGAUGUAAGCUGCAGUCCAUUGAACAGAGCCUGUGUUCCGCCUGACAUUCCCAAGCUGAGCUCCAUAUGGAACAGCUGAAUGGCACAAUUCAAAGUUAGACUCUGGGGAGUUUUAUGAUCCCCCUGCAAAUAAAUUGAUGGCUGACCAACAUGCAGCUGUCUCAGGUGUCACACGUGAUAAUUCCAGAUGCAGUGACAUUACACUGGUUAAAUUUAGGGAUGCACGAUACAUGUCGGGCUGAUUAUGAGCACAUAAUAGGAAAUUUACAUUAUUAUUCAUUGUUCCAAUGAUAACAUUUUUGCCAAUAAAUAGAACUGAUAAUACAAAGCCAAACUGCUUUGACUUAACUGAUGCAACAUCUACACUGCCAAUAAACACAGACAAGAAGAAGAGCAAAGGCAUGGAAUCUGCCUUCCCGGAAAAUGGUGAGUUCAGCGUCUACCAAUCUAACUGUCGUCUGGCUUGAAGUAACACAGCAGCAGCAACUAACAGCCAGCACAGAGCUGUUAAACAGUCCCCAUGAACACCACUGACACCCAAACGGCUUGACUCUGUUGUUAAACCUGAUAAUAACUAGUAGGUAACAUUGGCUGUGUAAUAAACCUGAUAAUAACCACAAUGUAAUGUUAGUUAUUUGAUGCUAACAGUUUGGGCUGCUUGCAGCUCUACAAUAAAAUCAGACCUACCUUUUUUUAUAAGUAGAAAACAAAAUAAGAAAAUUUGUUGAAUUGUGGCAGGUUGUCACAAAUUAAUCAAUGUAUGGAAAACACAAAGCCUUUAUUUUAACAAGAUCCCCGCCAUUUAUGACAGAACGCUUCCCCGCCAUUGACGAGAUAUUCCGUCAAUCCGUAUUUUCACUGGCAUAAGAUGGGGGGCGCUGUCACAGAUCUUGAGGAACAGAACAACACUGCUGAGUCCAAAAAAAAAAAAAAAAAACUAAGAGGAGGAUCCUCUGGAAACUGGAAGAAAAUGUUGUUUAGAAAGAUACAGCAGCUUGUAAACCAAACAAAAAGGCUGGCAGCGACGGAAAAGUUUAUGGUUGCGCAAGCCAUGGAGAUGUUAGACUGACAGACUCUUACAGUUCCUGUUUUGAUCAACAUUCUGAAUCCGAUUUUGACAGAGACGCAAAUGAGUUUGGUUGGAUGAAACAGGAUCAUCAUGAUGGUGACACUGACACAAAGAGAAGACGACCACAGAGAAGAGGGAGACAACAGAACACUGAACAUGAUGAUGCGCUCCACUAUACCUCAAACAGAAUAUUAUUUUCUUUUUUUUUUAUUUAUACAAUUCAAACUGACAUAAGGAAAUGAGGAA
Molecule: long non-coding RNA, 1800 nt
Organism: Epinephelus fuscoguttatus (brown-marbled grouper)
Lineage: Eukaryota; Metazoa; Chordata; Actinopteri; Perciformes; Serranidae
Exons: 4
Source: RefSeq, a predicted model, not a curated record